UUCGAAGGCGCCUGGAAGUUCUUACAAUUUCAUAAGUUAUCAGCAAUUUUCGUACAUGGAUGUACGGAAAAGGUGAUACUGAGCCUGGAUGGCGAAUUAUCACCGGUUGCGUUCCAACUUCUUGAAUAGAAAUGAACUUGUUAGAACUUCCAAGUGCCGCAG
This 162-nucleotide non-coding RNA is filed under the name human gut metagenome. The record is from RNAcentral.